GACGAACGCUGGCGGCGCGCCUAACACAUGCAAGUCGAACGAGAGAUGAGGAGCUUGCUCUUCAGAUCGAGUGGCGAACGGGUGAGUAACGCGUGAGGAACCUGCCUCAAAGAGGGGGACAACAGUUGGAAACGACUGCUAAUACCGCAUAAGCCCACGGCUCGGCAUCGAGCAGAGGGAAAAGGAGUGAUCCGCUUUGAGAUGGCCUCGCGUCCGAUUAGCUAGUUGGUGAGGUAACGGCCCACCAAGGCGACGAUCGGUAGCCGGACUGAGAGGUUGAACGGCCACAUUGGGACUGAGACACGGCCCAGACUCCUACGGGAGGCAGCAGUGGGGAAUAUUGCACAAUGGGGGAAACCCUGAUGCAGCGACGCCGCGUGGAGGAAGAAGGUCUUCGGAUUGUAAACUCCUGUUGUUGAGGAAGAUA
RNAcentral lists this ribosomal RNA (427 nucleotides) under uncultured bacterium. RNAcentral describes it as "bacterial SSU rRNA". It matches the Rfam family "Bacterial small subunit ribosomal RNA", at positions 28 to 450 of the family's 1533-position model. The record is from RNAcentral.